CUUUGUUGCUGCAGGUACAUGUCCGCUCCGGGUCCUCUCGCGUUCGCGGCGCAGUCACGGUUGUGCAACAGAUCCAGGAUGAGUUUCCCAGAAUCUCAACGUGCAGCUUGAAUCAAAGUUCAUGUCCGAGCAGGAGGAACCCACUCUCAAUCUUCUCAACCUCUUCCACUCAAAGUGCAGCCAUGGAGCUGAGGCUGAAGGCUAAACGCAUCCCACUCAAGGAUGCUGGUGAAGACGCUGUUUCACGGGACCUUAUAAUACAAAACAUGAAAAUCUACAGGAACAAGACGAACACGUCGGAGAGUCCAGACGUCUGUAUCGUGUUGGAUGGACCAAAAGUUCUGACUGCACUGAGGGACUUUGCAAGGGCUUGCUGUCUGCUGGUUGGGUUUGCGUAUGCAGUCAAUCUUGCACACUCAAAGAAACUUAAACACAUUUAAGGUUGUCCAAGUUUUCUUGG
Long non-coding RNA from Gasterosteus aculeatus aculeatus (three-spined stickleback), 460 nucleotides. The record is from Ensembl. NCBI's taxonomy places the organism in Eukaryota, Metazoa, Chordata, Actinopteri, Perciformes, Gasterosteidae.